AGUAUAAGUUAUGUUCUUUAAACCCAAAGAAUUUGGCGGUAUUUCAUUCUAUUCAGAGGAACCUGUUUUGUAAUUGAUAGUACACGAUUUACUUUACUUAAUUUAUUUGUUUGUAUAUCUCCGUUAUCAGAAAAUCUUUUUGGAGUUAAAAUUUUCUUGUUUUUAAUUAGAAUUUAUUUCAGGUCAAGGUGCAGCUUAUAAUUAAGUUUUUAAUGGGUUACAAUAAAUUUUUGUUUAUUAUGGAUUUAAUUUUGAAAAUUUUUAAUGAAGGUGGAUUUGAUAGUAAUUUAAUUUAUUUAAUUUAAUUGAUUUAGGCCCUGAAGUGUGU
Molecule: ribosomal RNA, 328 nt
Filed under: Aiolopus thalassinus
Lineage: Eukaryota; Metazoa; Arthropoda; Insecta; Orthoptera; Acrididae
Description: partial 12S ribosomal RNA
Source: RNAcentral